AUUGAACGCUGGCGGCAGGCUUAACACAUGCAAGUCGAGCGGUAACAGAGAGAAGCUUGCUUCUCUGCUGACGAGCGGCGGACGGGUGAGUAAUGCCUAGGAAUCUGCCUAGUAGUGGGGGAUAACUUGCCGAAAGGUAAGCUAAUACCGCCUACGUCCUACGGGAGAAAGGAGGGGACCUUCGGGCCUUUCGCUAUUAGAUGAGCCUAGGUCGGAUUAGUUAGUUGGUGAGGUAAUGGCUCACCAAGACCGCGAUCCGUAACUGGUCUGAGAGGAUGUUCAGCCACACUGGAACUGAGACGCGGUCCAGCCUCCUACGGGAGGCAGCAGUGGGGAAUAUUGGACAAUGGGGGGAACCCUGAUCCAGCCAUGCCGCGUGUGUGAAGAAGGUCUUAGGAUUGUAAAGCACUUUGAGUUGGGAGGAAGAGCAGUUAACUAAUAUUUGACUGUUUUGACGUUACCGACAGAAUAAGCACCGGCUAACUUCGUGCCAGCAGCCACCGUAA
This 506-nucleotide ribosomal RNA is filed under the name uncultured bacterium. RNAcentral's name for it is "partial 16S ribosomal RNA". It matches the Rfam family "Bacterial small subunit ribosomal RNA", at positions 30 to 523 of the family's 1533-position model. The record is from RNAcentral.